RNAcentral lists this unclassified non-coding RNA (3002 nucleotides) under Daphnia pulicaria. RNAcentral describes it as "uncharacterized LOC124341369, transcript variant X1". The record is from RNAcentral. Lineage: Eukaryota; Metazoa; Arthropoda; Branchiopoda; Diplostraca; Daphniidae.
GCACUGCAUUCGAGCACCGUCAGCCCGACGCCUUUAAACCUCAUCUUCGACAUUGCCCAGCAUAGUGUAGGUUUUUCCUGCACUAUUGGCUCCUUGUUAGGAGAUCCAUCUGACGGUGCUCGAAUGCAGUGCGUCCAGACUCCAGCCAUCCACUAGAUUUCUUGAUGGGCAAGAAUGCACUGCUUUUCACUUACGGAGCCAAUAGUGCAGGAAAAACCUACACUAUGCUGGGCAAUGUCGAAGAUGCAGGUUUAAUUCUUCGUUCUUUGGAUGUUGUAUUCAACAGCCUGAAAGAUAGACUACUUAAGAAUCCUGUCCUAAAGCCACUCGCUCUUAAUGAAGUCAUGAAACUGAAUCAUAACCAAAUUGAAGCAGAAGAGUUGGAGAGGGCAAUUUUGAUGGAUGGAUUUCAUUUCCACUCUAAAACUAAGGAUAGCAUUUCCUCGGUUCCUUUUGGAUCAUUGGAGGAUUGGAAUAUUCAAGCUUGAGAAGAGACAGUUUGCCCUCUUCAACACCCUCAAGAUUAUUUUUCAGUUUGGGUAUCGUACUGCGAAAUUUAUAAUGAACAAGCCUUUGAUCUACUGGAUGGAUGUGACAAAAAGAAGAAACGAAUAGCCUUGCGUAUUACUGAUGAUUGCAAGAAGAAAUUCUUUGUUAAAGGCCUUAUUUAGAUUUGCGUCCGUUCUGCUGAUGAAGCUGUCCGAGUUUUGCUUUUUGGAAAAGAGAACUUACACUUUGCUGCUACCAAGUUGAACUACAAUUCCAGUCGAUCUCAUUGCAUCUUUACGGUUAAGUUAUUUCGAACAAACCAUUGCGACGAGGCAAGUGAAGCUGCCAUCCACAUGAUGUCCUUUGGCGAUCUUGCUGGAAUGGAACGAACAACAAAGACUCAAAGUAAAGGUGAACGGCUAAAAGCAGCCGGAAACAACAAUACUUCACUCUUGAUACUUGGUCGUUGCAUCGACGCUAUGAGAAGUAAUCAACAAUUCUCCAGUAAUAAAACAACAAUGAUUCCGUAUCGAGAGUCUAAAUUGACGCGAAUCCUGCAACACUUUUUUUCUGGUCAGGGUAGAGCCGCCAUGUUUGUGAAUGUCAGUCCCUCUGCAAACUUGUUUGACGAAACUCUUCGUGUUCUAGAAUUUGGCGCCUUAGCUCAAGAAAUAAUCAUUCAGCCGGAUCGUGACGCUUCAGUUUCUGAUAUAUCCAGUAGCCAAUUCGCUCCACCUUUGCGUCCAUCAAAGUUCCGACAGUACGUUCGCAAAUCAAUCAGUAUUUUAAGUGCCAGGGCGUCAGUGCUAGAAACGUCGACGUUCCAGGCCAUUGGCGAAGAAGAUGACCCUCAUAAACGCAUUCAAGAAUUAGAAGAAGAAAAUGCUCGGCCUAAAGCUGGCUGGAAAGAAAACGAACGGAAGUUUCGUGAUGAAUGUUGCAACGAAUGGAGGGAAGUUGUCACUAAGAUGGAAAAGUCGUGGAAUCAGCGAUAUGAAGCCUCCUUGAUCAGAUUUCACAUUUGAAAAAGGACAUCGAAAUUUCCAGUACUGGAAGGAAACACGACGAAGGUAGUCAUUCUUACUUAUUGGAAGAAAACGAAAGGAUGCACAAAAACUAUAUGCAAGACACUAAGGCUAAACUUACUAAAGAGAAUGCCGAAUUCCGGAAAAUCAUGGCGGAAUACGAGUAUACAAUGGAAGAACUAACUUCAGAUUGGUCAGCUGAAAACAAUCAAAUUUGAACGAGGUUUACUCGAGUAAGAGCUUAAAACUUUAGCCGCUACUCUCGCUCGGGUUCAACUGGGGAAGUCUCAAAUGGAAAAAGAAGUAGACCAGAUCCGGAAUGAGUGUCAGGUUUCAGAUGAACGAUACAGAAAGUUAAUAAUCGAAUUGGAAGAAAGUCGCAGUCGAGAAGCAGCGUUAAAAGAAGAGCUCAAACGUUUGAAGGAAGAUUUGAAAUGUGAACUAGAAAAGAAGAAAUGGAACAGCAAAACGAGCGUAUGUUGAUGGAGAAAAAUGGAAACAUAAAUCGUUUGGAAAAUGAUCUGAAGUCCAUAAUGAGCAAUCGUGUCAACAUUAAUGUGCCUGACAUAAAAGUAGAAGGUCCGGCCGAUGAUGAAUUGUUGUUAGGAGAUCCAUGGUCGAGUCUAUUGCACCGUCGGGCUGACGGUGCUCGAACGCUAUGGUGCGCCGUUUUUAGCAGCGAAAUACAAUACUUUUUUAAGCACACCCCUCCUACGUCUGCUACAGUCGUCUGUAAAGGGUGUAGUCUUUUGCCCAACGGCUAAUUUUGAACGAUAUAAAAGAAGACCCCAAUUCCAAUCUCUUCACUUGUUCACUGCAACCUCUGUCCACUACAAGCAUUAUCCCAACAUGAAAUUCUUGAUCAUCAGCUUCUUCUUGGCUUGCGCCUCCGCCCAAUGGGUUGCCCCAUAUUACAGCCAAUGGUCCCCAUACAAUACUCAGUUUACCAAUGACUUGUUGUCGAAGAGCGUUGACUUGAACAAGGACGGCCAACCCGAUGUCCCAGUCUACACCGCAGCCCCCGCUCUCUUGCCCAACUACUACCCCUACGCCGGUCUGAACUACCGCGCUGGAUUCCCCUACACUUACGGCGCUCCUUUCACCUACCCCUUCGUCCAGGCUGCCGCUGCUCCCGCCGCUGAGGUCAAGUCCACCCGCAGCAAACGUCAAGUUGCCGUCCUUCCCCACGACCCAGCUGAAUUCCUCAACGAUUUCCGUUACAAAAGCGUUGACCUGAACCAGGACGGCCAGCCCGACAACGCCGUUUACACUGCCCCAGUUGCUCCUAUCGCUCCUGCCCGAUUCGUCACUCCCUACCCUGGAUUCACUGGUUAUUACCCUCAAACUUACCCAUUCUUCAACGGAUUCUAUUAACUUAAUAGUCCGCCAACCCGCCAUUGAAAAUGAUCUGUUGUUAUAAUUGUUAUUACCUUUUUGUUUUGAAACUUUAAUUGUUUCUUACUUUCUGAUUACAAAAUUCAUACCGCA